UACAGAGGUCCCAAGCGUUGUUCGGAUUCAUUGGGCGUAAAGGGUGCGUAGGUGGCGUCGUAAGUCGGGUGUGAAAUUUCGGAGCUCAACUCCGAAACUGCAUUCGAUACUGCGGUGCUUGAGGACUGGAGAGGAGACUGGAAUUCCUGGUGUAGCGGUGGAAUGCGCAGAUAUCAGGAGGAACACCGGUGGCGAAGGCGGGUCUCUGGGCAGUAACUGACGCUGAGGAGCGAAAGCGUGGGGAGCGAACAGG
Molecule: ribosomal RNA, 253 nt
Filed under: uncultured bacterium
Lineage: Bacteria
Description: partial 16S ribosomal RNA
Rfam family: Bacterial small subunit ribosomal RNA
Source: RNAcentral